Molecule: long non-coding RNA, 216 nt
Filed under: Lathyrus oleraceus (garden pea)
Lineage: Eukaryota; Viridiplantae; Streptophyta; Magnoliopsida; Fabales; Fabaceae
Description: Pisum sativum (pea) long non-coding RNA (PSAT_LNC028249)
Source: RNAcentral
UAUAAGCCAUAAAUCAUAAACUACAAAAUAUGGCAAAAAUGGCAUAACUAGUACACAUCAAAGAUUAACAUAACUAUUAGGGUUGACUCAUAACAUAUUUUAAUCCUUGUUGUGACCAUCCUUAUGGCACCGACUGCAUUUGAUACCAAAUUUUGCUCGUUUGAGUUGUGACUCAUUUCUCACUUGUUCUUCAGUCUCCUUGUUCAUUUUCUUCUU